Molecule: ribosomal RNA, 770 nt
Filed under: uncultured bacterium
Lineage: Bacteria
Description: bacterial SSU rRNA
Rfam family: Bacterial small subunit ribosomal RNA
Source: RNAcentral
AUCCUGGCUCAGGAUGAACGCUGACAGAUUGCUUAACACAUGCAAGUCGAUUCGAUUUACCUUCGGGUAUUGAGGAUGGCGGACGGGUGAGUAACGCGUAAGGAACUUGCCUCUUGGACUGGGACAACUGUUGGAAACGACAGCUAAUACCGGAUAUUAUGAGAUUCUCGCAUGAGAAACUUAUGAAAGCUAUAUGCGCCAAGAGAGAGCCUUGCGUUCCAUUAGCUAGUUGGGGGGGUAAUGGCCCACCAAGGCAACGAUGGAUAGCCGGCCUGAGAGGGUGAACGGCCACAGGGGGACUGAGACACGGCCCUUACUCCUACGGGAGGCAGCAGUGGGGAAUAUUGGACAAUGGGCCACAAGCCUGAUCCAGCAAUUCUGUGUGCACGAUGAAGGUCUUCGGAUUGUAAAGUGCUUUCAGUUGGGAAGAAGAAAGUGACGGUACCAACAGAAGAAGCGACGGCUAAAUACGUGCCAGCAGCCGCGGUAAUACGUAUGUCGCAAGCGUUAUCCGGAUUUAUUGGGCGUAAAGCGCGUCUAGGCGGAAAAAUAAGUCUGAUGUUAAAAUGCGGGGCUCAACUCCGUAUUGCGUUGGAAACUGUUUUUCUAGAGUACUGGAGAGGUGGGCGGAACUACAAGUGUAGAGGUGAAAUUCGUAGAUAUUUGUAGGAAUGCCGAUGGAGAAGUCAGCUCACUGGACAGAUACUGACGCUGAAGCGCGAAAGCGUGGGGAGCAAGGCAGGAUUAGAUACCCUGGUAGUCCACGCCGU